This 488-nucleotide long non-coding RNA is filed under the name Phascolarctos cinereus (koala). Its description in RNAcentral is "lncRNA (ENSPCIG00000011638.2)". The record is from RNAcentral. Lineage: Eukaryota; Metazoa; Chordata; Mammalia; Diprotodontia; Phascolarctidae.
CCGGCCUGGGACAAGCAGCAGGAUUUAUUUGGUAUGAAGUGGUUACCAUAGAAGAGAGAUUUGCAAGUUGUUGAAGACUAGAUUUUUACAACAGCGGAAUUUUGGAUGUUGGGCAUUAUUGUUCUUGGAGAGGUCAUAGUUAUCAAUUAUCAGUUGUGCUUGGAUGAUUAAUAGAGUUCAGAGAAGAAAUUCAGAAAACAGAAUGAUUGCAUGCAGAGUCACUCUGUGCCUCAUGGGACACAGCCCCCAUUGGACAAUGUGAAAGAUGCCUUCGAGAGUUCAAGGAUACUUUUGAUGCUUCCCUUUGAGCUGAAACUGCCAACCAGACUAGGUUGUGAACAGAUGACCAUGCUAAAUGAGCAACAAAUCAUGCAGACCACAGAUGCAGUUUUCUCUGGUAUAUGAGAGCAGACUCCUCUUCAAAAUAGGUUCGGAGUUUUCUGUUAAUGUCUCUUUACACACACACACACCAUCCUCCAGGGGAGAUG